UCUUCAAUCAAACCAAGGAGAAUAAAAAAGAACCCAAACAAAGAAAAUGGGAAGAACAAAGAUGAAGAAUAAAGUAGAUCUCCUUUGCAACUUUACAGUAAAACAUUGUUGAAGGAAUAGUUGAUGAAGAAGAUCACAUUCACAUGGCUUCGUCUUCUCCAACUCCUCCGGAAUCUUCUUCUCCAACUCCGAUUCCCGUUUAUGAUGAUUCUUGGUGAAUGUUCUGGAAGAAGAGCGAGUUCCGAUUCACAUCGUUCGCUCCACUCAGCUUCCAAUUGGUCGUUCUUCUCCUUCUCUAUGCAUAAUACAGGUCUUCAUCAUUGGACCAGUGAAGCAGAUAAAGAAAGCUGAAGACAUGUUAAGGGGGGCUGAAUGGGUUAUUCUUCCUCUAAUGUGAUCACCUCUUUUUUUUUUUUAAUUAUUAAAGGUCUUCACUCUUCACAUGUGCUGGCUUCUCAGUUUGCUGGAUCAAUAAGGUAGCUUCCAUCUCACAAGAUGUUGCUUGAUUCAAUCAAAGUAUUUGUUUGGAGGAUAUCGAUGUCAAUGUUUAGGUUUGGAGCAUCGAUGUGUACCAUUUUAUUUUCACUCCAAUAUGGAUUCAAUAUAGAGGGUCAGAGCAUCCACUUUUACUGCCAUCCAGAAGAUUGUUUCAUCAAUUUUUGGUUGGUAGAGUCUUCAAGAUUGAAUUGGUACAAAACACAUCAAAAAGAUGUAAGUAGAGGACUUUAAGAUGCAAAUGCAAUACUUCGCGGAGAAACUGAUGCUGCAAAUGCAGGAAAAAGAAUAGUUUUGCCAUCGUCUUUUACAGCUGAUGCACAUUAUCUAAUUCAGAAUUAUCAUGAUGCUAUGACCAUAUGUACAUGGACCGGAUAUCCAGAUCUGUUCAUCACUUUCAGUUGCAAUAAAAAAGGCUGGAAUUACAUGUUGGCGCAACAAGGACUCAAACCAGAAGAUAGACCAGAUUUACUUUGUCGUGUUUUUAAGAUUAAACUUGACCAAUUGAUUAAAGACAUGAAGGAAGGGAAAAUAUUUGGCAAGGUCAAGGCAGUUGUAUGCACCAUAGAGUUUCAGAAGCGUGGAUUACCACAUUCCCAUAUAUGCAGCAGAAUGGCAAAUGCUCAAAAUCUUUCCUAAAAAUAUCUUGAAGCAAGAAGUCUUACAUAUGGUGAAUUUCCUUCAAUGUUUGUUUGGGAUAAACCCAAACAUGAGUGGACAAAGAGGAAGAAGGGAUAUGCAGUUGGAAGAUUACAAUUUAUUCAUCUAGGAAGUGGUCAACUAUAUUACCUGAGAAUAUUGCUUAAUCAUACUAGAGGAGCAACAUCAUUUAAAGAUUUCAGAACAGUAAAAAAUGUCGUCUAUGCAACAUUUAAAGAUGCUUGCUAUGCUUUGGGUUUGUUGCGAGAUGAAAAAGAAUUCAUUGAAGCCAUUAUAGAACAAAGCCAUUGGUGGACAGUUAUUAUUUAAGGAAGCUUUUUAUCGGUUUUUACUUCUAUAGUGCUAACUGCUAAGGACUUGGUAGUUGUUGGAUUCUGGAAAACAAAAAACUUAUCUUUAAUUAAGGGAGAAAAUCAUAUAUCUUUUCCAGAUCAUCUUACCUUUAA
Trifolium pratense (red clover) is the source of this 1601-nucleotide long non-coding RNA. RefSeq lists it as uncharacterized. The transcript has 7 exons. The record is from RefSeq and is a predicted model, not a curated record. NCBI's taxonomy places the organism in Eukaryota, Viridiplantae, Streptophyta, Magnoliopsida, Fabales, Fabaceae.